UCCAGCCUGCCCAGUGACCUAGUUUAACGGCCGCGUACCCUAACCGCGCGAAGGUAGCAUAAUCACUUGUUCUUUAAUUGAGGACUUGUAUCAACGGCACCACGAGGGUUUUACUGUCUCCUCCCCCUAAUCAGUGAAACUAAUCUCCCCGUGAAGAAGCGGGGAUGAACCUAUAAGACGAGAAGACCCCAUGGAGCUUUAAACUAAAUUCAAUCCAACUUGAACACACCCGCAUAUUUAGUAGGAUCCUGUACAUUCAGCUUUAGGUUGGGGUGACCACGGAGUAAAAAUUAACCUCCAUGAUAAACGAAUACUUUUCUUAUCUAAGAAUUACACUUCUAAGAAUUAGUAUACUAAUAUAAAAUGAUCCGAUAAUCGAUCAACGGACCAAGUUACCCUGGGGAUAACAGCGCAAUCCAUUUUAAGAGCCCCUAUCGACAAAUGGGUUUACGACCUCGAUGUUGGAUCAGGAUAUCCUAGUGGUGCAGCAGCUACUGAAGGUUCGUUUGUUCAACGAUUAAAAUCCU
This 527-nucleotide ribosomal RNA is filed under the name Gephyromantis tahotra. RNAcentral describes it as "partial 16S ribosomal RNA". It matches the Rfam family "Bacterial large subunit ribosomal RNA", at positions 1853 to 2597 of the family's 2925-position model. The record is from RNAcentral. Lineage: Eukaryota; Metazoa; Chordata; Amphibia; Anura; Mantellidae.